RNAcentral lists this ribosomal RNA (279 nucleotides) under uncultured bacterium. RNAcentral's name for it is "partial 16S ribosomal RNA". It matches the Rfam family "Bacterial small subunit ribosomal RNA", at positions 506 to 784 of the family's 1533-position model. The record is from RNAcentral.
UGCCAGCCGCCGCGGUAACACGGGGGGCGCAAGCGUUAUUCGGAAUUAUUGGGCGUAAAGGGCGCGCAGGCGGUCUUGUCCGUCAGGUGUGAAAGCUCGGGGCUCAACCCCGGAAGUGCACUUGAAACAGCAAGACUUGAAUACGGUAGAGGAGAGAGGAAUUCCUGGUGUAGAGGUGAAAUUCGUAGAUAUCGGAAGGAACAUCAGUGGCGAAGGCGACUUGCUGGACUGAUACUGACGCUGAGGAGCGAAAGCGUGGGGAGCGAACGGGAUUAGAUA